UACGUAGGGUGCGAGCGUUAAUCGGAAUUACUGGGCGUAAAGCGUGCGCAGGCGGCUUUGCAAGACAGAUGUGAAAUCCCCGGGCUUAACCUGGGAACUGCAUUUGUGACUGCAUGGCUAGAGUGCGGCAGAGGGGGAUGGAAUUCCGCGUGUAGCAGUGAAAUGCGUAGAGAUGCGGAGGAACACCGAUGGCGAAGGCAGCCCCCUGGGCUAGCACUGACGCUCAGGCACGAAAGCGUGGGGAGCAAACAGGG
This 254-nucleotide ribosomal RNA is filed under the name uncultured bacterium. Its description in RNAcentral is "partial 16S ribosomal RNA". It matches the Rfam family "Bacterial small subunit ribosomal RNA", at positions 524 to 777 of the family's 1533-position model. The record is from RNAcentral.